This 273-nucleotide ribosomal RNA is filed under the name uncultured bacterium. RNAcentral describes it as "partial 16S ribosomal RNA". It matches the Rfam family "Bacterial small subunit ribosomal RNA", at positions 524 to 796 of the family's 1533-position model. The record is from RNAcentral.
AACGUAGGAGACGAGCGUUAUCCGGAAUUACUGGGCGUAAAGCGCGAGUAGGCGGUUAGAUAAGUGGUCUGUGAAAGCGUCCGGCUCAACUGGACGAGGCCGGAUCAGACUGUCUGACUAGAGGGUCAGAGAGGCAGGCGGAAUUCCGGGUGUAGUGGUGAAAUGCGUAGAGAUCCGGAGGAACACCAGUGGCGAAGGCGGCCUGCUGGCUGACAACUGACGCUGAGGCGCGAAAGCAUGGGGAGCGAACGGGAUUAGAAACCCCCGUAGUCC